Molecule: ribosomal RNA, 496 nt
Filed under: uncultured bacterium
Lineage: Bacteria
Description: partial 16S ribosomal RNA
Rfam family: Bacterial small subunit ribosomal RNA
Source: RNAcentral
GAUGAACGCUGGCGGCGUGCCUAAUACAUGCAAGUCGAGCGAACGGACGAGAAGCUUGCUUCUCUGAUGUUAGCGGCGGACGGGUGAGUAACACGUGGAUAACCUACCUAUAAGACUGGGAUAACUUCGGGAAACCGGAGCUAAUACCGGAUAAUAUUUUGAACCGCAUGGUUCAAAAGUGAAAGACGGUCUUGCUGUCACUUAUAGAUGGAUCCGCGCUGCAUUAGCUAGUUGGUAAGGUAACGGCUUACCAAGGCAACGAUGCAUAGCCGACCUGAGAGGGUGAUCGGCCACACUGGAACUGAGACACGGUCCAGACUCCUACGGGAGGCAGCAGUGGGAAUCUUCCGCAAUGGGCGAAAGCCUGACGGAGCAACGCCGCGUGAGUGAUGAAGGUCUUCGGAUCGUAAAACUCUGUUAUUAGGGAAGAACAUAUGUGUAAGUAACUGUGCACAUCUUGACGGUACCUAAUCAGAAAGCCACGGCUAACUACGUG